This 399-nucleotide ribosomal RNA is filed under the name uncultured bacterium. Its description in RNAcentral is "bacterial SSU rRNA". It matches the Rfam family "Bacterial small subunit ribosomal RNA", at positions 28 to 416 of the family's 1533-position model. The record is from RNAcentral.
GACGAACGCUGGCGGCGUGCCUAACACAUGCAAGUCGUACGGGACCGGGGCGAACUCCGGUUCAGUGGCAGACGGGUGCGUAACACGUGAGGAACUUGUCCGGUGGGCGGGGGAGUAGCCGGCCCAACGGCCGGGUAAUACCGCAUACGCUCGUUCGGGGGCGAUCCCUGGGCGAGGAAAGCAGCCGCAAGGUUGCGCCGACGGAGGGCCUCGCGACCUAUCAGCUUGUUGGCGGGGUAACGGCCCACCAAGGCGACGACGGGUAGCUGGUCUGAGAGGAUGAUCAGCCACAUUGGGGACUGAGACACGGCCCAGACUCCUACGGGAGGCAGCAGGUGGGGAAUAUUGCGCAAUGGCCGCAAGGCUGACGCAGCGACGCCGCGUGUGGGAGUGACGGUC